This 253-nucleotide ribosomal RNA is filed under the name uncultured bacterium. Its description in RNAcentral is "partial 16S ribosomal RNA". It matches the Rfam family "Archaeal small subunit ribosomal RNA", at positions 474 to 727 of the family's 1478-position model. The record is from RNAcentral.
UACCAGCACCCCGAGUGGUCGGGACGAUUAUUGGGCCUAAAGCAUCCGUAGCCGGUCCUGCAAGUCUUCCGUUAAAUCCAGCUGCUCAACAGAUGGGCUGCGGGAGAUACUACAGGGCUAGGAGGCGGGAGAGGCAAGCGGUACUUUAUGGGUAGGGGUAAAAUCCGCUGAUCCAUAGAAGACCACCAGUGGCGAAGGCGGCUUGCCAGAACGCGCUCGACGGUGGGGGAUGAAAGCUGGGGGAGCAAACCGG